This 6723-nucleotide long non-coding RNA is filed under the name Homo sapiens (human). RNAcentral's name for it is "PREDICTED lncRNA (TCONS_00079660)". The record is from RNAcentral. Lineage: Eukaryota; Metazoa; Chordata; Mammalia; Primates; Hominidae.
CGAUGGCCUGAUAAGCAACUAAGCGUCUGGCUUCGCGGGUUCAUGCCCGAGGCUGUGCGGUCGGGGGAGGCUGGGGGCUCAGCCGAAACCUCAGCUCCUCCUUACAGGCCUGGUUUGGAAACGGGCUGUACACUGCUGGGGGCCCCACUUUCCAAUGUUUACUUCUGAGAUUGGAAGAAGAAGACAAGAAACACCUCCUCACCCCCUACCCUCUGCCUCCACGCCCGCGACUCAGCCCAGGUGACCCAAACGGCAGAGUCAACUUGGCGCAACCGGAGCGUCCCCAUCGCGCCGGCCACCCCCAGCCCCCUUCGCCCCUCGCUUGGCCCCACAAUGCGCCGUUGUGCCGCGCCUGCCGUCAGGCCGGGGAUUUGGAGCAGGGAUGGGGGGAAUAUUCGUCAGAUAUUUAAAACAGAGCCGAGAGAACAAAGCAGGCCUUUGUGCAGCAGGGCGGCCCGGGAGCUGGGAGCCGCCGGCCCCCAAGCACUGUGCUGGGCCAGGAGAGUGCGCAUGCGCGCGGCGACCUGUGCGCUCGGGUUCUGUGCCGGCUUUUACCCCAGCUGAAUAACCUGGUGGUCACAAGAAAGCAAAGGGAUUUUUAUGUGACAUCAUCUUGGCAAGAAGCUCCCUUACCAACCUUGACCUCCAGGUCUCCAUGGCAACUGCUGCUGGGACAUCAUUGGCACCAGAUUGUGUCCCUUAAAGGCCACACUGCAGCAAGGGCAGAUAAACAAUUUCAUGGCAACAGUCACGUAGCAAUCUCAUUCUUAAAUGUGGGCUGGUUAGUUAGGAUGAUGUAAGUGGUUUUUUCCACUCUCUUCCGCAUUCUGACUCCAGAAUUCUGGGCCUAGGACAUAGUCAAAGAAUGUACCUUGGGGUAUGAGGUAAGAAAACAGGCUGGGGUGGGACUUGAAGAAGUACCUUCUUCUAGACACAGGGACAGAUUCUUUUUCCUUUCCCAGUUGAGAGUUCAUUUUCUGUCUCGGUUCAACAAAGGCAUGUUAUCUUUAUAUAAAGGAAGCUGUAAUAGACAGUCUCCAAGAUGGCAGCCUUUAGUUCUUUCCCUCCUCAGAUUCAUGAGCUGCUUCUCACCUCUUAAAUCUGGUCUACCUAUAGUGACUUGCUUGACCAACAGAAUAUGCUAGGAGCAACAUUCUGGAACUUCCAAGGCUUGGUUGUAAGAAGCUUUGCAAUAUCUGCCUGGAUCUCUUAGAACCUUCAAUAUGGGACACUUGCUCUAGAAAUCAGCCACCAUCCUGUGAGAAGUCCAAGCCACAGAGUGAGGCCAGAAAUAGUUGCUGCAGUCAAGAGCCCCAGCUGAGCUCUCAGCCAACAUUCAGCAUCACUGCCAGCCAUGUGAGUGAGUGAUGGUGACCUUGGAUGUCCAGCUCAGUAGAACCUUCAGAUGAUUUCAGCCCUAGCCGUUCCAACUGCAAGACAUCCUGAGUGAGCUGAGCCCAGUCAACAGAGAUGUGAGAGAUAAAAAUGCAUUGUUUUGAGACACUAAGUUUUAGAGUGUCUGUUGUGUAGCAGUAGGUAGUUCAAGAGGAAUGAAAUGCUAGAUGGGGUAUGGAAGAUAGGAGAGGACCUCCUGAUAGCUCAGCUACUUUGAAAGGCUUUAUUUAUCAGGAUUUUUUGCCCCUGCAUCCCACCAACACCAUCCCUGCUUUCUGAGCUGUGCCUGGCACACUGCACCACACAAACCUUGCACUGCUCACUAACUGUGCCAUGUAUAUAAGCCUCCUCAGCCCGAUGGUGGACACCUUGAAGAUAGGGACCUAUAUGAUUUGAUUCCUACCCUCCUUAGCACUGACAGAUUUGUCAAGCUGUUCCAGUGGAUAAAUACGGGGGAUAACUGCUGGAACAGCAUCUUGAGGUGUUUAUAUGGCUUGGCUUCUGAUCUUUGACAUUUGAUAACUGAUGAACAUGCUAUUUGGGCCCACCCAGGAGCCAGCCACACCAUGGGGGAGUCUGAACCUCACCCACACUGUGGCCACUCAGGGGAAGGAGACCAGGGCCAAGAACGCAGUUGCUAACCUCCUGCUUAGAUUUGCUUCUUGCGGGGCAGCCCUGGAAACCCAAAGAAGAGCUAAAACUGUGUGGAUGAGAGAAAACCUUCAGAACCCAUUCAUAGAGAUACCAGGAGCAGCUGAGAACCCAUUGUAGGAAGGACACAUGUUCAAGACCUCCCCCAUCUGCCCAUCUAGGGACAUGGAUGUUUAACAUGCUAGGGUCAGAAGUGGGAACAUAGGUCAGCUUGAGUAGAACCUGGUGCCUGUGCAGGAACCCUGCCUUCUGUGGGCCCAGCUACUCGGGAGGCCAAAGAGGGAGGAUGGCUUGGGUCUGGGAGGUCGAGGCUGCAGUGAGCUAUGUUUGCACCACUGCACUACAGCCUGGGCAACAGAGUGAGACCCUGUUUCAUAAAAAAUAAAUAAAAAUAGAAAGCCUGGCGAGCCCAGUGUCUACUCAGAGCUUAGGAGAGAGGGAGGAGAAAAGCAGGAUGAGGGCAGCUUGGGAGGCGGUCCUUCAUUCUGCCAAUAAACAUUAUUUUGUGAAUCAGGCCUGGCUUGAGGCACAGCGUAUGCAGAAAAGUUCAAGGGAGACAGAGUCCCUGCUCUCAGGUAAAAUGCCUGGAGGAGUUGUAGCUCCGAUACACAUCUCACGACAUGGGCAGAGCUUGGCUGACCAUGGGUGUAGGGGAGCUAUGGCCUUCCCUCCUCAUUAUAUCCCAGUCUUCCAACUUUGUGAAAGACCUGGAAUUCCCAUGCUAUAAGGUGGUAUGAGUGUGGGCACUAGGGCUGGGACUAGUCCAGGUCCCAGCUCCACCACUUAUUGGCUGUGUGACCUCGUGCAAGCUACUUAAACUCUCUGAACCUUUAGCAUCUUAUCAGUAAAAAUAAGAACAGUAACAGUUCUUCAUCUCAGGGUUGUCUGAGGAUUUCAUAAGAUCCUCCUGGCAAAGUGACCCCUUAGCUCCAUGUGUGGCACCUGCAGGCGCUUCGGAACCACCGGCUCCUAUCCUAUGUACUCCCACGAGGCAUGGGAGGGCUCUGGAUAUGAAAUUAUCUGCAAGGUCCAAGUAACUUUUGCUUAGAAAAAACAAAAGGGAUGAUGAGGGAAGAAGUCUCACUUAGGAACGAAAUUGCCUGGGGCCCUGUUUCCUGAGAGGAUCGCGCAGGAGUCAUAUGACAUUGGUCUGACUUUCCUGAACUGCCCACGCAUGCGCUGAGUUUCAACAGCACCGAGAACCUAGGCUUCUCUUCCUGAAACUUAGGAGAAGCUUGGGCUUCCCUCUGGCCAGUCCAGAGGUGGUUCCCAGGUAAUUGCCUGGUCCAAGAGCCACAGAGGAUUUGGAAUUAUGAGGGUAGGGAACUGCGGUUAGGGGGAUCCCAGAGUCUCAGGAAGCAUUUCAGUUCCAUCCCUUGACCCCACUUCAUGCUCUGGCAUAUCGAGGGCCCGGAAGUGCUAGGAGAGCUGUGAUUGGCAGGCCUCACUCCCUGCCCACCUUCCCUCUUAGCUUCCCCAGAACCAUAGCCCCCUUUAGACUGGGCAUAUGGGCAGAUAACAAAGGAUAUCAUGCUGGGGACGUAUUUCUGAGAGGGGGUGACUGCCCUUGCCCCUAAGUAUGAGUUGCCUUUUCCAAAUAUCCCCACAAUGUAAAGUGAUCGGCAAAGGGGACCACAGCCCUUGGUUCUACACCCAUCAAACAUGUGCUGAAAUCAGAUUCUUUUCUAAGCAACACAUCCAUAUUAUGCCACCAUUCAGACGAAACCAAGAGCUAAUCAUCCUGAGUAUGAGAUGUGUUCUCUGGUGAGAUGCCUGGACCUCCACAGGGGAGGUUGUUCUCUUGAGAAAAUGCCGACUUCCCCUCGUCUUUCAGAGGCCCCCUUCCUGACCAAAAGGCUCAAGGUAAGCAAAGCUAGAGCCCAGUGUUUGGGCUACAUUCCAGACUCCUGGUGUUUCCAACCCAGAGGGGUUAUACUCACUGCAAAUCUUUACUCUCCCUAAAAGCAGUUUAACAGAAAGAAGACAUUUGAUCUUUCCCUAGUACAUCUCAGUAGUUUGAUUUUCACUGUCAUGUGAAUUCAAGACAUAGAAAAAUAAAACACAAAGCCUUACCGGCCCUACUGGUUUAUCCAUCAUAUUCUAUUACCUUCUAAGAAGUCUGCCUUAUUAGCAUAUCUGAUCACUUGAGGAACACCUGGCUAGAAUGUUUAGGUGGUAGCAAGGGAAUGAUUGGCUUAUUUUCCUCCCCAGAUGUCACUCUUUGGGCUCUCCACCCAGGGUCACUACUAGCCCAUAUGGCACCUAUGUACAAGUUAGAAAAGGCACCCCUUCCUCUUUGUGGAUACAGCCAUGCCAGGGCACAGCUUGGCAGGAUGAGUGCAGGCUGAAUUUCAGCCCCCAUCUGCCUUCUAUGCAUGUUGGCCUUUUGCAGUGAACAGCCUGUGAAACUAUAUGUGGUGGCCUUGCCUAUACUCAAUGUCACUAGCUCUCAUUUCUCUUCUUGGAAAGGUGCGUGUUGGAGAGGGAAGGGAAAGAAGAUGCUUGUUGCUGUUCAUUACGGACAGGUUCCCCAAGAGUGACACCGUACUGUGGACUCAGCUUCAGGAGGAGAGAGACCAUGCCUGCAGGAAUCAAAAUGAAUCAGCACCAAUCCUGACCCAAGAUGAUAUGGGUUGACUGAAUCAGUUGUUCCUCAUCAAGUAUACUGGAAGUCAGAAUGGCUCCUCCUCCAUGAUGCCCCUGUACUUAGAGCAUCUGGCGUCUGUGAAGGGUCUAAUCCCAAGUGAGGAUUCUGCUCCUGAGACAGCCAGGACCAGACGAUUGCCAAGGUCCCUCCAGCCUAAAGGCAGUGACUCUAGAACAGAUGGGGCUGGAUGGUAACAGGGUAACUGGAGCUCAGGAAUGGAGGCCAGGUUAGAGGCAUGCUUGCCCAGUCAUUCCAGGUGCCCAGGUUCCAGGCUUAUCCCUCUUUAGGAGAGAAGUAAAGACAUGAAGAGGAACCCUCUGUGGGCCUGUGCUGACCCAUCUGCCACCCCCAACCAGAGGCAUGAGUGACAUGGGAAAGGGGAGUGGCGUUGGGGCUGCUUGGCCUGCCUCCUGCACCCCAAAGCUCUGGGUUCAAUUACACUCAUUGUCACUGUGCACAGAACCCACGUCACCACUGAGGAGAUCAGCUGGGCCCUGGCUGCUGACAGCUUGUUUUAUUCUUGCUAAGCCACUACAUCUUGGCUUUGUUGUUAUGUUUCCAAUAGCAACAGGAGAAAAGACAACUUUUUCUGCUUUGGGAGCUUAUUUUUUUCUCCCGUAGGAGAAAGCUCCAGCCUGAAGACUUGAUGUCCUUGGGGCCCCAAUGUGGCCUUAGCCCAGACCCUGGGGGCCAGUAAGGAGAAGUCCAGCUUAGCUCUGCCCCAGGGAAACAGCGGGUAGCUGAAGUCAUGGAGGAUCCAGGAGCCAGGAGCUAUCAACUCUUCUGGAAUUGGGCUCAGCUGCCCUUUUUAGUUUUGAAUGGCUACAAAAUAUCCACAGUGGCUUGGGUAGGCCUAAAGCAUAGACAGUGGAGAAAGGAAAAGGAGAGAAAAAAGGAACUUAAGAGUAGAGGAGAAAGGAGUGGGAGAGAAUGGCAAGAGAAGAAAGGUGGCUGUGGAGAAGUGCAGUGACACCAUCAGCACCCUUGGGCAUCACUUGGCAUUUGAAGCCAAAGAGGAUGACCCCACAGGCCUGGAUGAAAAAUAUAGAGGUUCUCUCUGGCAAGGGGCUUUUGCUUUCCAUUGAGAAGGAGCUGCCAUCAUGAAUGGAUGGAUGGAUGCAUGGACAGGUGGGUGGAUGGAUGAAUGAAACAAUAAGCGUGGUAUUCCCAGGAUUGAAUGAAUGAUAAAGGAAGGAAAAAUAAGUGAGAAGUGAGAGAAUCCAAUGAGGGGUUAAGCCAUCUUAGGCAGGGAUUGCCAAGGAGUGGUUUGGGAGGGCCUUGCCCCGUCCCCUCCAGUCUCCAUUGGCUUCCCCUAAAGUCUUUCUAAGUAAAUAAACAUGCAAUCUAAGUGGAAAAAUAGAGUGUUUACUAUACAAAACAGCCUGAUGAAAACCCCCUGGCUCCUGUAUCAGCCAAUAUUCCAUCCAUAGGUUCUCCUUUACAGAAACUCCCGAGCUGCCACUCAUCAACUACAAGGCAUUGUGUCUGCUUUUUCCAAAUCCCAUCCCAGACCAAUUGUAUUCAGGCUGUGGACAGACAGGUGAGGACCUGAAACAUGAUUAAAGGAUAUAGGGAAAAUAAACUUUAGAUUCACUUGAGAAUAGGAAGAGUUAAAGGGCCUUAAGCCUUUCAGUCACUCCUACUUAGGGAUUUGGGGUAUUAAUUAACAAUAGCAAAUCAUUGGGUAGAUUGUCUCUGCUCUCCCUUCAGUAAAAAAUGUCAGGUAUAGGCAUUUCUUCCUAUGCCCAGUAGGAAUAGUUCACUGGGGCCAGGAUCAAGGGUUAGGGGUCAAAGGACUAUACUCUCUAAGCCUUGAACCAAUAAUGUGAGCAGCUAGUGCAGAAGUGAGCAAGGCUCUUCUUUCAUGGAAGGUUCUUAUCAGAAACCAGAGCUGUCUGGAGGGACACAGUGAGUCAGAUUACAACAGCUACCCAUGGUGGGGACAGGUCAGAAGGGGUCACGCAGAGGCUGUAGGGAAGGUUGCUAUUCUUAGGCCCCUACUAUCUCAGGCGUCUGCUGACUCACUUGGG